AGCGGAUGCGGAAGGUGUUGUAAGCCCCCGGAGACACACUCGUGGCUUGAAUCUGGAAGAUGUCCGAGGGAACGGAUCGUUCUGAGGUGAUGGUCAUGUAGCGAUGGACGAUGGAGAAAGGGCUGGACGUAAUACUUGCCAACACAAGAACGGUUGUUUCCUGCUAUCUGGAACCCGGGUUCACAUUGACAAGAGAAAGAACCAGGGACGUUGACACAGCGAUGUUGGCAGUAUCUGUACCUGCACUCGUCAAUGUCUGAGAACAGAAAAACAGUUCCUAAAACACAGAGCUGAGAGAGGAGACUGGGCCACGUUAUCUUGGCUCUUGUAAGCAGAUCUGGGAGAGCAGAGCAGACGGCAGUGCAGCUGUGCAGCUGUGAAGUGGAAGGCCUGUACCAUUAAACUAGGUCCUGAGUGGUGGCAAAGAUGGCAGCUGUCAUUACAGGAGAGGUUGUUAAAAGUCACACUGACUGCCCCCCAAGUGGACCAACUGUGCUCCCCCCCACAGGUUUGACCCCUUAUGUCCACGGCCACCCACAAACCUCCCACACACUUGAACAGCUCCUCCAGACUCAUUAAAUUUGCUGCUGAUAUUUGUAGAUCUCAGCAGGUUUUUAGAUUAGAGCUGCAACUAUGAAAUAUGACCACGGUAGAGUAAUCAGAUCGAUGCAAGCUCUACUUUCAGUAGAUGAGUCACUUGGAGGUAGAUACUCAGAAAACACUUGAAAAUAUGUGUCACUGUGUCUGUUCAGUUUAUGUCUAAACAAAAACCUUUAAGGUUAUUGAAGUCAAGGACGUAUUUAUAAAGUUUUCAAGGGGCAUAAUUAAACUUUUUAUCAUAACAUUGUGCAGCACUUUUUAGCUUCAGUGAGAAUGAUGUAGUAGCCUAAAAGGUUAUACUUUACAAGUUUUAAAACAAUAUUUUCAUUAUUAUUAUUUAUGUAUGUGAUGUAUGCCUUCUUCCGUCUCUCAUCCCAACAUCAACAUCUGUAAAUCCCGUACCUGUAAAGGCUAAGUGGUAAAACCCCUCCUUUAUAAAACAGAAGACAAAAUAAUCAUAUCAACCAGCAUAAGACUUUACGAGAUCACAUAAAACAGGACGACAGUUUGAUGUAAAUGCUCGCAUUUUAUUUACAAACCAAAUUUGCAGAACCUUGGCGGGACAGUCGGGGAGCAAACUGAGG
Molecule: long non-coding RNA, 1184 nt
Organism: Cynoglossus semilaevis (tongue sole)
Lineage: Eukaryota; Metazoa; Chordata; Actinopteri; Pleuronectiformes; Cynoglossidae
Exons: 4
Source: RefSeq, a predicted model, not a curated record